Long non-coding RNA from Cyprinus carpio carpio, 604 nucleotides. The record is from Ensembl. NCBI's taxonomy places the organism in Eukaryota, Metazoa, Chordata, Actinopteri, Cypriniformes, Cyprinidae.
GCUGGUGCUACUUCACUGACGGCCGCACACACUGGGGGACCACUCACCUCAGUCUCAUCACCUUCCAGGGCCAGUGCCUCUUUCUUCAGAUCUUCGAACGUAAGACCCGGGGGCCGGCUAUGCUUUGACUAAGCCACACCCCUUCUCAACUUCCACCUCGAGGAGGUCCCCAAAGCCAACCCAAUGGCCAAACAACACGAGAACAAGUAAGUGAUAAAACAAUCUUUAUUUAAAUAUUUAAAAAUAGCUUGGGGAAUAGGGAAAGGGCAAUUAAAACUAAACUCUGACUCGGCCCUCCAGAUGGGCUAUGGCCGGGAAGAGGUCAGGGAGCAAGGGGGCCACGGGGAUCCGGGGCGUGGGACUCGGGCCCCGGCCUGAGUCUUAGGUAUCCGUAGCGCCCUCCUUCUUCCUCCUCUUCGCUGAAUACAGCUCACAGUAAGUACUGGUUCACACAGUUCGUUCUCUGGGUGCUCACUCUCUUUCUCUUUCUCCACAGGCAACGGCUGGGACACACAGGCACAGUUAGUUCAGCUUGGUUUUGCUCUCACCUCUUCGCUGAUUACAGCUCACAGUAAGUACUGGUUCACACAGUUCGUUCCUUGGG